Molecule: ribosomal RNA, 492 nt
Filed under: uncultured bacterium
Lineage: Bacteria
Description: bacterial SSU rRNA
Rfam family: Bacterial small subunit ribosomal RNA
Source: RNAcentral
GAUGAACGCUAGCUACAGGCUUAACACAUGCAAGUCGAGGGGAAACGAUAUUGGAAGCUUGCUUCUGAUAGGCGUCGACCGGCGCACGGGUGAGUAACGCGUAUCCAACCUUCCGUACACUCAGGGAUAGCCUUUCGAAAGAAAGAUUAAUACCUGAUGGUAUCUUAAGCACACAUGUAAUUAAGAUUAAAGAUUUAUCGGUGUACGAUGGGGAUGCGUUCCAUUAGGUAGUAGGCGGGGUAACGGCCCACCUAGCCAACGAUGGAUAGGGGUUCUGAGAGGAAGGUCCCCCACAUUGGAACUGAGACACGGUCCAAACUCCUACGGGAGGCAGCAGUGAGGAAUAUUGGUCAAUGGACGAGAGUCUGAACCAGCCAAGUAGCGUGAAGGAUGAAGGUCCUACGGAUUGUAAACUUCUUUUAUAAGGGAAUAAACCCUCCCACGUGUGGGAGCUUGUAUGUACCUUAUGAAUAAGCAUCGGCUAACUCCGUG